RNAcentral lists this ribosomal RNA (253 nucleotides) under uncultured bacterium. RNAcentral describes it as "partial 16S ribosomal RNA". It matches the Rfam family "Bacterial small subunit ribosomal RNA", at positions 524 to 776 of the family's 1533-position model. The record is from RNAcentral.
UACGUAGGCAGCGAGCGUUGUUCGGAAUUACUGGGCGUAAAGAGUGUGUAGGCGGUGCUCCCAGUCUGUUGUGAAAUCUCCCGGCUUAACUGGGAGGGUGCAGCGGAAACUAGAGUGCUAGAGGGUGGGAGAGGUAAGCGGAAUUCCUGGUGUAGCGGUGAAAUGCGCAGAUAUCAGGAAGAACACCCGUGGCGAAGGCGGCUCUCUGGAACGCAACUGACGCUGAGACGCGAAAGCGUGGGGAGCAAACAGG